Molecule: long non-coding RNA, 424 nt
Filed under: Capra hircus (goat)
Lineage: Eukaryota; Metazoa; Chordata; Mammalia; Artiodactyla; Bovidae
Description: lncRNA (ENSCHIG00000005135.1)
Source: RNAcentral
GUGCUCGGAAAGGUCCUACCAGCAAAGCAUUUACAAGGGGUCCUGGGUUCUUCUGCUCCCACAAGGAAAAUUCCAGAGUCACAUGAGCUGGAUUCCAGGUUAAAAGAAGAACACUCCUUCCCCCCGACAAGAAGACACAGUCGAUGCAAGGUGGGUAAAGCUAGACUGACAUUCAUAGGCUCACGUGGACCCGCAGUGAGGAGGCCCGGUACCUCCUGGAACUUACACUGGCUAGUCUAUGAGUCUCAAACACUAUGGAUGCUGGUCACCUCCCACGUGCUGAUGUCCAAGCAGCUCCAAAACUCAAGAGGUUGUGGGGCUGAAGUGACACAGAUCUUAGCAGGAUGAUGUGGAAGAGUGGGUCACACUUUCAAGAACUCUUCGGAAUGUUUUGUCACCGAAACUUGGACUGUCAGAGUAAAAG